Molecule: ribosomal RNA, 301 nt
Filed under: uncultured bacterium
Lineage: Bacteria
Description: partial 16S ribosomal RNA
Rfam family: Bacterial small subunit ribosomal RNA
Source: RNAcentral
CAGUAGCCGCGGGAAUACGGAGGGUGCAAGCGUUAAUCGGAAUUACUGGGCGUAAAGCGCACGCAGGCGGUCUGACAAGUCAGAUGUGAAAUCCCCGGGCUUAACCUGGGAACUGCAUUUGAAACUGUCAGGCUGGAGUCUUGUAGAGGGGUGUAGAAUUCCAGGUGUAGCGGUGAAAUGCGUAGAGAUCUGGAGGAAUACCGGUGGCGAAGGCGGCCCCCUGGACAAAGACUGACGCUCAGGUGCGAAAGCGUGGGGAGCAAACAGGAUUAGAUACCCCUGUAGUCCCUGUCUCUUAUAC